GCAGCUUUUGGGGGGUAGUGGUGCAUCAGAGUAGUGGCUAAAAUUCAUCUCUACAUAACAGAUGUGUGUAAUUUGACUUUCACCGGAGUGAAAACUAUAACUGAUCUCUUGGAUGUUUUAAAAAGUCUUUUUUUCACCUGUCUCCCUCCUUGUGUUUUGCUGUUGCACGUAGGGUUUUGUGGUCAGUUUUUGCUCUGUCAAGGUCUGAUUUGUUUAAAAAUAGUAUAUCAGGUUUGCUAUCAUCUUUCUAAAAGAAGAAACUAAUAAAUCACACACAACAGUUCUGCUUUAGUAAAUGUGGGUUGCUGUCUGUAUGGCUUAAAAACACUUUCUUCCCAAGUCUGGUGCUGCAUGACAGUCAGAAAAAAUGACACCACCACCACCAAAAGAAAAAGCAUAAGCAAUAGCUUCCGAAGCCUCUGGCUACCAUGGAGUUAAAGAAAAUAAAUAAUUAGUUGCAAACAAAGCCGUUUAAAAAAUACUUUAUGCUUGCCAGCAUCAUGUCAAUGAACUGUGUGCUUGUCAAGGCACCCUCGGCCAUACAAAAGAUCUCAGCAAAACUGCUAUGGAUCUUAUUCAAUCUCUGCAAGUGCAGCUGGUUUCCCCUUUUGAUCCACAAAAGGAACACAUGCUGUGUUCAGCCUUUCACUCCUGGAACUGCCUAAAGGAACCAGAAGGAGUAACAUCUUGAGGAUUGCAAGAAGAAUUCUCUGCCUGUUUACAGACAAGACAUGUGAAAUGAGACCUCCUGGUUAUUCCAUAGAGCUGAAGAGGAAUUAAUGCAACACUACUGCAAACAGCAGAAGAGAGGCUUGGAUUCUCUCCGUGUUGAUGAUGGAAAAAAACAAAUUUCAGUUCUUUUGGAGAUGAGCCCCAUUGACCUGCAGGAAGAAAAAAAGGCUUAGGUGGGGGAGAAAUGAAGAGGAAAGGGAAAGGAGUCAGAAGAUUUUAGUUUCCUAUUCAGAAGCUAGCCUCCUCCCUGCCUCCCCAGUUUUUUUAAUUGCUCUUUAGAUUCCCCUUCCUCCACUUCUGGGUAGGAAGUGUGUUCUGCUUCUAGUGAAGGAGUGAAGCUGAGGAUGACAGCUUUAGUACUGGCAACACUUAAAAAUGAUCCAGGAGCAAAGGGAGUUACUUCCAAGUUGGGUACUGAUGAGUGGUGUGGUUAUUUAUUUCUCAACUGUUGUGAGUAUGAAAUUAAGUAGUUAAACAUAAACUGAGUUCAAGGAAUCAUAUGACUAACUGCAGCAUCCCUGCACUCAGACUAUUUCAUUUCAGUAUAAUAUAUAGAAAAAUAACAAAGUAAAAAUGCUUAAACACAUGGGAUCUUCAUUUUAGUGAUCAGCUUAUAAAACAAAGCAUCCAUAAUUUGAAUAACUGUUCAAUACAAAUAUUAAACCAUUUUGUUAGCAUAUAGAAGUCAUUUAUUAUUGCCGCUUUCCUAUUUAAGUGGCCAGAUAAUGGGGCCACUUUAUAAAGGAGGAAGAAGUUUAUAUGUACAGUGACUUAAAUUUUUAAGGUGACAUGCAACUUCAUUGACAUAAUAUACUGGUAAGUGACAAAGUAGCUAAGAAUGGUGAACUAACUUACUAAUUGCAGUGGGCAUGUUUCUUUAGAUUCCUACUCAGUGGUCAUCAGUUGGCUGCCUGAGGAGUCUAAUGGAGGAUCAAAGGAAGGGUUUGUGGAGGAAGAAUAUAGUGGAGGAAUGGCAGAGGAAUCAGCAGAGGGGCUGGAAGAAGAAUCCAGUGGCAGAUCGGCGGAGGGGCUGGAGGAAGAACUUGGUGUCGGAUAGGCAGAGGAAGAAUUUGAUGAAAUAUUGGAGGAGGGAUGUCAGUGUAGGAUUAGAAGAGUGGAGGGGAGGAGCCUAGUAGAAGAUCAGAGGGGGAAGCCUCUGGAGAAUGGGAGGAGGAGCCCUGCUGAAGAGCUCUUAGUUAAAACAAUAAACUUUAUUUUUAAAAGA
Molecule: non-coding RNA, 1957 nt
Organism: Caretta caretta (loggerhead turtle)
Lineage: Eukaryota; Metazoa; Chordata; Testudines; Cheloniidae
Source: RefSeq, a predicted model, not a curated record